Molecule: ribosomal RNA, 301 nt
Filed under: uncultured bacterium
Lineage: Bacteria
Description: partial 16S ribosomal RNA
Rfam family: Bacterial small subunit ribosomal RNA
Source: RNAcentral
CAGUAGCCGCGGUAAUACGAAGGGGGCUAGCGUUGUUCGGAAUUACUGGGCGUAAAGGGCGCGUAGGCGGCCAUUCAAGUUAGAUGUGAAAGCCCUGGGCUCAACCUAGGAAUUGCAUUUGAUACUGUUUGGCUUGAGUUCGGGAGAGGUGAGUGGAAUUCCCAGUGUAGAGGUGAAAUUCGUAGAUAUUGGGAAGAACACCAGUGGCGAAGGCGGCUCACUGUACCGACACUGACGCUGAGGCGCGAAAGCGUGGGGAGCAAACAGGAUUAGAUACCCGCGUAGUCCCUGUCUCUUAUAC